AUGAAGGAAUUAAUCCCACAAGAGGGAAGAUGGAGCAAAGGAAUACAUGACAGAGGGAAGGGAAGGGGUGGGGGAAGACGAGUCGGAAGUGGAGAUGGAGGCCGAGGCAAUGGCGCAGCGGCAACGGCGACGGCACGAGCAACCAAAGAAAGAGUGAGACACACACAAACAGGAAGGCGUGAGGAGGCAAGAAGAACGGAAGGGUUUGGGCGGCGGAGAAGAGGAGCAAGAGGGAGGUGGCGGUCGACGGUGGCGGUGCCGCCGCGAGGCGAGAAGAGGAGCAAGAGGGAAGUGGCGGUCGGCGGCGGCGGUGCCGGCCGCGAGCCGGAAUUGGGCUCCUACCUGUGUGUGACGGUGCUGGAGGGGGAUACAAGAUGGGAUCGAUGGGGUUGGGAUUCGAUCUCCCUAUCUGUUAGGUAG
This 420-nucleotide ribosomal RNA is filed under the name Triticum aestivum (bread wheat). RNAcentral's name for it is "partial small subunit ribosomal RNA". The record is from RNAcentral. Lineage: Eukaryota; Viridiplantae; Streptophyta; Magnoliopsida; Poales; Poaceae.